AGUUUGUCCUUACUUCCACUCAAAGAUUCUUAUCUUAUCUUCUUCCUCACAAUCACAGCAAGAAAGGUUGAAACCAGUGGCUGAGUGUGGAAGUUGAGUUGAUUUGGAGUUUAAAGCAAUAUGAGUUAUGUGGGAACUUUGUUAGUCUUUCUUUCAAGCUGUGUGUGUCUGGUCAUCCUCUUGAUUCUCCUCAAGUUCCUUCACAAGGUAUGGUGGACUCCAAUUCGCAUACAACGCGCGUUGCGGUCACAGGGAAUCAAUGGCCCUUCUUACAGAUUCAUCCAUGGAAACACAAAAGAAAUCUUCAAAAUGAGGAAGGAAUCCACCAGCAAACCCAUGGAAUUAUCAUCCCAUAACUUAUUUCCUAGAAUUCUGCCCGAAAUAUACUUAUGGAUCAACAUUUAUGGGAGGAAUUAUCUUAAUUGGUAUGGUCCAAAAGCCCGAAUAGUUGUUACAGAAUCAGAAUUGGCUAAAGAUAUACUGAACAAUAAAGAUAAAGCUUAUGCAAAGACGGAUGCUGAUGGCUUUGUGAAGAAGCUAUUAGGAGACGGUCUUGUGUUUUCAGAAGGCGAAAAAUGGGCAAAAGUACGAAAACUGGCCAAUCAUGCUUUCCAUGCAGAUAGGUUGAAGAAUAUGAUUCCAGAUAUGAUUUCAAGUGCGGAGAUGAUGUUAGAAAGGUGGAAACAGUAUGAAGGAAAAGAGUUGGAAGUGUAUGAAGAGUUGAGGAUCUUAACGUCGGAAGUGAUUUCUAGAACAGCUUUUGGGAGCAGCUAUUCAGAAGGGAAGGACAUUUUCGAGAUGGUGUUGAAGUUGGCCAUCUUAACUACCAGAAAUGCUUUCAAAAUUAGGCUUCCUGGCCUCAGUAAAAUUUUAAAAACAGCUGACGAUACAGAAUCAGAUGAACUUGAACAAGGAAUACGAUAUUCCAUUAUAAGAAUCAUAAAGAAACGAGAGGAGGAGAUGACUGGAGAAGUAGACAGCUUUGGGACUGAUUAUCUUGGAUUACUUGUGAAGGCUUAUCAUGAUGCUGAUGAGAAGCACAGGAUUACAAUAGAAGAUGUAGUUGAUGAAUGCAAGACAUUUUACCUUGCUGGACAGGAAACUACAGCGACGUUGCUUACAUGGACGGUUCUUCUCCUAGCAAUUCAUACAGACUGGCAAGAGAAAGCGAGGCAGGAGGUGCUAGAGUUAUUUGGCCAAGAACAUCCAAAUUCAGAAGGCAUUGGAAGGCUGAAAAUGAUGAACAUGAUCAUCAACGAGUCUCUAAGACUAUAUCCUCCAGUGGUUUCAUCUGUGAGAAAAGCUAAACACGAAGUCAAAUUGGGGAAGUUCAUUGUUCCAGCCAAUACAGUUCUGCAAAUUCCUCCAUUGGCUUUUCAUCAUGACCCUCAAAUAUGGGGAGAAGAUGUGCUUCUUUUCAAACCAGAGAGAUUUUCUGAAGGGGUUGCUAAGGCAACCAAUAACAACCCAGCCGCGUUUCUUCCCUUCAGUUUUGGACCUCGAAUUUGUGUAGGAAUGAACUUUGCAAUGAAUGAAGCGAAGAUUGCUCUGUCAAUGAUUCUGCAGCGCUAUAGCUUCACUCUCUCCCCUACUUAUAUUCACUCACCAGUUUCAGCUGUGACAAUAUCUCCACAACACGGAGUUCAGGGAUUCUUAGACAUUAACUAGAUUCUGGUCCCCUAUAAGAUUCAAAGCUAGAUAGACCUUGAAUGUUUCAAAAGUGGAGAUAGCAAAGAAGUGUUUGGCUGAUGAGGGAAGUAAAUGUUCUCCAAUGGAUAAUGUGCUAUGGAACUUGGAGGUGGCAUGGCAGCAGCAAGAAGGUGUUGAUGCAGAAGAGAGGAAAUGAGGUGGUGGAACCAGUGGAUAAACUGCAAGAGUUAAAAGGUCUUGGAAAAGAAUCGGUGGACGACAACCCACCUCAAGCUUAAGCGAUACUAGAAGCUCACUUUUGUGUCUUUUGUAUAUUUCCCAUUAUUUUUGCAAAGCACUAAAAGUAUAAAGGUAUAUAUGUAUAUUUUGCAAAACUUUGUCAUGUAACCUUGUUGAUGAAUGGGAAGGAUAAUUUUAGUUAAAGUAAUUAUCGGUGU
Cornus florida is the source of this 2087-nucleotide RNA transcript. It is a transcript of the gene named cytochrome P450 CYP749A22-like, with no coding region annotated. The transcript is spliced from 7 exons. The record is from RefSeq and is a predicted model, not a curated record. NCBI's taxonomy places the organism in Eukaryota, Viridiplantae, Streptophyta, Magnoliopsida, Cornales, Cornaceae.